This 503-nucleotide ribosomal RNA is filed under the name uncultured bacterium. Its description in RNAcentral is "bacterial SSU rRNA". It matches the Rfam family "Bacterial small subunit ribosomal RNA", at positions 9 to 507 of the family's 1533-position model. The record is from RNAcentral.
CGAGUUUGAUCAUGGCUCAGAUUGAACGCUGGCGGAAUGCUUUACACAUGCAAGUCGAGCGGCAGCGCGGGGCAACCUGGCGGCGAGCGGCGAACGGGUGAGUAAUGCAUCGGAACAUGUCCAUGUCGUGGGGGAUAGCCCGGCGAAAGCCGGAUUAAUACCGCAUACGCUCGGGAGAGGAAAGCCGGGGACCGCAAGGCCUGGCGCGAUUGGGUUGGCCGAUGUCCGAUUAGCUUGUUGGUGAGGUAAAGGCUUACCAAGGCGAUGAUCGGUAGCUGGUCUGAGAGGAUGAUCAGCCACACUGGGACUGAGACACGGCCCAGACUCCUACGGGAGGCAGCAGUGGGGAAUUUUGGACAAUGGGGGCAACCCUGAUCCAGCCAUUCCGCGUGAGUGAAGAAGGCCUUCGGGUUGUAAAGCUCUUUUGUCCGGAGCGAAACGGGCGCGGCUAAUACCUGCGUCCACUGACGGUACCGGAAGAAUAAGCACCGGCUAACUACGUG